GAUGAACGCUGGCGGCGUGCCUAAUACAUGCAAGUCGAGCGAACGGACGAGAAGCUUGCUUCUCUGAUGUUAGCGGCCGACGGGUGAGUAACACGUGGAUAACCUACCUAUAAGACUGGGAUAACUUCGGGAAACCGGAGCUAAUACCGGAUGAUAUUUUGAACCGCAUGGUUCAAAAGUGAAAGACGGUCUUGCUGUCACUUAUAGAUGGAUCCGCGCUGCAUUAGCUAGUUGGUAAGGUAACGGCUUACCAAGGCAACGAUGCAUAGCCGACCUGAGAGGGUGAUCGGCCACACUGGAACUGAGACACGGUCCAGACUCCUACGGGAGGCAGCAGUAGGGAAUCUUCCGCAAUGGGCGAAAGCCUGACGGAGCAACGCCGCGUGAGUGAUGAAGGUCUUCGGAUCGUAAAACUCUGUUAUUAGGGAAGAACAUAUGUGUAAGUAACUGUGCACAUCUUGACGGUACCUAAUCAGAAAGCCACGGCUAACUACGUG
RNAcentral lists this ribosomal RNA (497 nucleotides) under uncultured bacterium. Its description in RNAcentral is "partial 16S ribosomal RNA". It matches the Rfam family "Bacterial small subunit ribosomal RNA", at positions 28 to 507 of the family's 1533-position model. The record is from RNAcentral.